CCCUCCGUGCCCGGCAGCCACGCCGCCACCAGCGCGUCGAUGACAUCGACGAACGGCUCCACCACCAGCGGCCGCCCGGAGACGAGCACAACGACGCACUUGAUGGCGCCGCACACGUUCCGGAUGACGUCCGGCCCGGGCGCGGGGAUGGUCAGGUUGAGGUUGUCGCCGAACGUCUCGGCGUAGGGGGGCUCGCCGACGACGACGAUGGCGUAGCCAAAGCGGGCGCGGUUCUGCUGGAGGAAUGCCGCGUCGGGGUUCUCGGAGUAGACGACGUCCGUGCCGGGGGCGACGGCGCGCCGGACGCCGUCGAGGAUGGUGGUCCCGGCGGUGAGGUUGUUCCCCGUGAGGCCCUGCCAGGUGAUGGUCCACCCGCCGCACUGGCUGCCGAGGUCGUCGGCGUGGCUGCCGGCGACCAGGACGGCGCCGUUCUUGGGCAGCGGCAGCAUCGGGCCGGCGCCCGGCUUGCCGUUCUUGAGGAGGACGAGGGACUUGCGCACGGCCUCGCGCGCCAGGUCGCGGUGCUCCUGCUUGCCGAGCUCGCCCGCCAGGCUGGCGUCGGCGUAGGGGUGGUCGAAGAGGCCCAUGGUGAACUUGACGCGCAGGAUGCGGCGCACGGCGUCGUCGAUGCGGCUCAUGGGGAUGGUGCCGUUCCGCACCAGCAGCGUGAGGUCGUCGAUGAACUCCGUG
This 690-nucleotide unclassified non-coding RNA is filed under the name Zea mays. RNAcentral describes it as "misc RNA Zm00001eb208990". The record is from RNAcentral. Lineage: Eukaryota; Viridiplantae; Streptophyta; Magnoliopsida; Poales; Poaceae.